UUAACACAUGCAAGUCGAACGAUGAAGCCCUUCGGGGUGGAUUAGUGGCGAACGGGUGAGUAACACGUGGGCAAUCUGCCCUGCACUCUGGGACAAGCCCUGGAAACGGGGUCUAAUACCGGAUACGAGCCUCCCGGGCAUCUGGGAGGUUGGAAAGCUCCGGCGGUGCAGGAUGAGCCCGCGGCCUAUCAGCUUGUUGGUGAGGUAACGGCUCACCAAGGCGACGACGGGUAGCCGGCCUGAGAGGGCGACCGGCCACACUGGGACUGAGACACGGCCCAGACUCCUACGGGAGGCAGCAGUGGGGAAUAUUGCACAAUGGGCGAAAGCCUGAUGCAGCGACGCCGCGUGAGGGAUGACGGCCUUCGGGUUGUAAACCUCUUUCAGCAGGGAAGAAGCGAAAGUGACGGUACCUGCAGAAGAAGCGCCGGCUAACUACGUGCCAGCAGCCGCGGUAAUACGUAGGGCGCAAGCGUUGUCCGGAAUUAUUGGGCGUAAAGAGCUCGUAGGCGGCUUGUCGCGUCGAUUGUGAAAGCCCGGGGCUUAACUCCGGGUCUGCAGUCGAUACGGGCAGGCUAGAGUGUGGUAGGGGAGAUCGGAAUUCCUGGUGUAGCGGUGAAAUGCGCAGAUAUCAGGAGGAACACCGGUGGCGAAGGCGGAUCUCUGGGCCAUUACUGACGCUGAGGAGCGAAA
RNAcentral lists this ribosomal RNA (693 nucleotides) under Streptomyces sp. R-Ac031. Its description in RNAcentral is "bacterial SSU rRNA". It matches the Rfam family "Bacterial small subunit ribosomal RNA", at positions 48 to 758 of the family's 1533-position model. The record is from RNAcentral. Lineage: Bacteria; Bacillati; Actinomycetota; Actinomycetes; Kitasatosporales; Streptomycetaceae.